This 1510-nucleotide long non-coding RNA is filed under the name Heterocephalus glaber (naked mole-rat). Its description in RNAcentral is "lncRNA (ENSHGLG00100035965.1)". Lineage: Eukaryota; Metazoa; Chordata; Mammalia; Rodentia; Bathyergidae. The record is from RNAcentral.
GGGAACCAGCUGGGUGGAGGCCACUCUAGGCCUGUCCAAGGGCAGGGUCUCCCUUGUGCAGUGUCUGCUGCUGCAUGACCUCUCCUUGAGGGUUGGCCCUUACUCAAUGCCUAUUUCUGUGCCUGGUCUGGCUGCUGGACUCAUGGUCCAUGAUAGAAGCCUGGCUUCGAGGAGUCCAGAAUAAGUAGGGGAAAUGGGGAGCAGAUGGUGACCAUGAGGGGUGGCAUGGGAUAACUAGGAAGGGCACACUCCAGCCAGGCUCACUAUUCUACACCCACAUCUGAAGCAGCAUCUCCAGGGACUCAGAACAUGCUGGGAAAGCCCAGUCAACAAGUCAGAUCUGCCUUGUUCAGUUAUUGCACCGUCUCCUGCCUGACUAGCAGCAGGCAUACCCCACCGUCCCAGCACCCCAUCUGGCCACAUUUCCUGAGAGGUCCACGUGGUUGGACAUAGACAUUCCAGCUUGACAUCCCUGUAGGGCGGUAAAGGUCUUGCUGUGCUAGAAUAUAAGGUUGACCAAGUAGAAUUCACGAACACUGAGUAGUGUGAGCUGGAGCCCAUCAGGACCUGUACUCACUCUCCUGGCCUGGGGGCAAGAUCUGGAAUUCAGAGGUUUAUGUGUACCCCACCAAACCUAUUGCUAAGAAGGAAUGCCACUGGCUAUAGAACAAAGAGAAGCAGUUGUGCAAUUCAUACUUGAAAGGUGUUAAUUGUUGAAAGCCAUUGUUAAUGCUGAGACUGAAAAUCUCAGUAGAGGCACUUUAUUGUGCCAGAGACACCCGGGACCAUGAAGACAUCUUCCUGGUAGGGGACAAUCAUUUCCACUCAGAGUGGGUAUUCAGUAUCAGGUGGGUAUGGCUUCCCCUCUCCCAGUCUGCUCCAGGGGCCAUCUGGAAGGGACAGUUGCCUCCACUUCUCCCCCACAGCAGGAAUCAAACAGCAUGAGCAAUAACAGCUUCCAGAACUGGGGCAGGACAUCCUUGGGCCAAAUAAUGUGGCUCGAGAAUGCAGCUGUUUCAGUCUGAAGGAAAUGCCCAGGCACUUCUAACCUGAGCUCACCUCCACCACUCUUGGGCUCAGCCACAAGCAAUCAUGUGCAAAGAUGACUCCUUUCCUGCAUGACUGGGAGCGACAUGUGUGACCCUUCCCAGGGCCCCUCCCAGCAAGGGCAGCAGAACCAUCUGGAAAGCCGAGCCACCCUGGGCACCGCCAGAGUGCUGAGGAAUUCUCAACGCUGAGACAGGGGCUCCCCGGAGACGAGUUCUGCACAAAACAUACCCAAGGACAGUCUGCAGCGUGGACAGAGGGCGGCCACCUCCGGCCCCCGGGGCGCCCCAGGACCCGCUCCACUCCUCUCCGCCUGUGUUGGACUAUCCCCUGCCUCCUGGCCUCCAAGACGGGGUGCUCCCUCCCUGCCUCCCGUGACACCGCACAUGACGGCCCUGGAGAAGCAAGGCCCAGACUGGACUGGGGAGGCACCCCCAGCAGCCCUGGGAAGCUGACAGCGCCC